AUAAAGAUCAUUGCAUUCAGAACGGACUAACUUAGAUUUUGAUAUAUACGAUUUGAAUUUACAUGCAAUAUUGACUGCGCUAUUGAUGUUUGAACGUUGAACUACUGUUUUUGAAAAUGCCAAAAAUUAGCAUAAAACAAUCUUAUAAUUUCCGAUGUAUGUAAAUUUAAGUGUUAUUUAUCAAAAUCUAAGUUAGUCCUUUCUGAAUGCAAUGAUUUCAUU
Non-coding RNA from Paramuricea clavata, 222 nucleotides. The record is from the annotation of a GenBank genome assembly. NCBI's taxonomy places the organism in Eukaryota, Metazoa, Cnidaria, Anthozoa, Malacalcyonacea, Plexauridae.